This 465-nucleotide ribosomal RNA is filed under the name uncultured bacterium. Its description in RNAcentral is "partial 16S ribosomal RNA". It matches the Rfam family "Bacterial small subunit ribosomal RNA", at positions 28 to 507 of the family's 1533-position model. The record is from RNAcentral.
GACGAACGCUGGCGGCGUGCUUAACACAUGCAAGUCGAACGGAAAGGCCCUGCUUGCAGGGUACUCGAGUGGCGAACGGGUGAGUAACACGUGGGUGAUCUGCCCUGCACUUCGGGAUAAGCCUGGGAAACUGGGUCUAAUACCGGAUAGGAGCCAUUUUUAGUGUGAUGGUUGGAAAGUUUUUUCGGUGUAGGAUGAGCUCGCGGCCUAUCAGCUUGUUGGUGGGGUAAUGGCCUACCAAGGCGGCGACGGGUAGCCGGCCUGAGGGGGUGGACGGCCACAUUGGGACUGAGAUACGGCCCAGACUCCUACGGGAGGCAGCAGUGGGGAAUAUUGCACAAUGGGCGCCAGCCUGAUGCAGCGACGCCGCGUGGGGGAUGACGGCCUUCGGGUUGUAAACUCCUUUCGCUAGGGACGAAGCUUUUUGUGACGGUACCUAGAUAAGAAGCACCAGCUAACUACGUG